Molecule: ribosomal RNA, 553 nt
Filed under: uncultured crenarchaeote
Lineage: Archaea; Thermoproteati; Thermoproteota
Description: bacterial SSU rRNA
Rfam family: Archaeal small subunit ribosomal RNA
Source: RNAcentral
AUGGGGUGCAGCAGGCGAGAAAACUUUGCAAUGUGCGAAAGCACGACAAGGUUAAUCCGAGUGAUUUCUGCUAAAGAAAUCUUUUGCAAGUCAUAAAACCACUAGUGAAUAAGGGGUGGGCAAGUUCUGGUGUCAGCCGCCGCGGUAAAACCAGCACCUCAAGUGGUCAGGAGGAUUAUUGGGCCUAAAGCAUCCGUAGCCUGCUCUGUAAGUUUUCGGUUAAAUCCAUGUGCUCAACGCAUGGGCUGCCGAAAAUACUGCAUAGCUAGGGAGUGGGAGAGGUAGACGGUACUCGGUAGGAAGGGGUAAAAUCCUUUGAUCUAUCGAUGACCACCUGUGGCGAAGGCGGUCUACCAGAACACGUUCGACGGUGAGGGAUGAAAGCUGGGGGAGCAAACCGGAUUAGAUACCCGGGUAGUCCCAGCUGUAAACGAUGCAGACUCGAUGAUGCAUUGGCAUAUAGCCAGUGCAGUGUCGCAGGGAAGCCGUUAAGUCUGCCGCCUGGGAAGUACGUACGCAAGUAUGAAACUUAAAGGAAUUGGCGGGGGAGCAC